Dendroctonus ponderosae (mountain pine beetle) is the source of this 3132-nucleotide RNA transcript. It is a transcript of the gene named U4/U6.U5 small nuclear ribonucleoprotein 27 kDa protein, with no coding region annotated. The record is from RefSeq and is a predicted model, not a curated record. The transcript is spliced from 5 exons. Lineage: Eukaryota; Metazoa; Arthropoda; Insecta; Coleoptera; Curculionidae.
AUGCAAUAUGUCAAUAAUGAUUAGCAAUAAUCAUCAAUUCACCUCGAAGAUGUGUUAAAAUUUCCUUUAAUUAAUAAGUAAGUACUUAAGUACCUACAAGUUUAAAACUUUGCAAAACACCACAACCACUGAUGUUAAUAAUUUCCUUAGAUGUUCAUGAAUAUCACCAUCAGAUAGCUGAACCGUAAGGGCAAACAAUAAUAAAGGAGUUGUACAAACCUGACGUUACUCUCGUCCUGGCUACUCCGUGGUGUGUUUCUAAGUCCAUUGAAAAGUUUGUUGAAAAGAGCCAUAACAUGAAACCUACACUAUUCACAUUCAUGCAUAGUUGAAAAAGCACGAGUUUCACAUCGUACCUUGCCAGAGUGAAAACAAUAAAUAAAAAUCACGUGCGGUACAGUCAUAUGAUACAGUUGUAGCAUCUUUGUCUGAUGGAUUAUUCAGGCCAGUCUCGCUCUAGGACUCCGGCCUGGUCCGUUGACGAAGUGGGGACUGUUUUUCACAUGGGGGGCCGGCCCGUUUUAGCCUACGCAAAAAUUAGCAAUAUCAAUCGGGUCAUAUGAGCGUGUCGCACAUAGUUUUUGCGUAACUGGAACAUGAGAUGAGAUCGUCUAUAAUUAUUUAGUUCACUGCUUAAACAUAGUUUUCGCUCUUUUGGCUAUUUCCAUAGCCAAUUAUUUCUUCGCACACAUUAUAGAUUGUGCUGCAUAUUUUCACUCAUUCUCAUUUUAAUUUUUCAUCACUUUGGCUCACCGUGGACGUUUCACCGAAAUCAGUUUAUUUAAUAACAAUUUACUAGUUUAGAAUUUAAGCAUAAUUUCUAAAAAAUUUACAAAAAUCUGACACUGCAUGUGUUUACAUCGAGUAAUUGACGCAAUGUUGCCGGCGAUUGUCUGAAAAAUUGCAUUUUGCAUCUCAUCAUCGCUCAGAUAAAUUUAAUCGCUUCAUAGAAAUUUUCUUCAUUAUUUACGCGUAUUAUCACCUUGGAUGUUUUAUAUAUACCCGCAAAAAAUGCGUUUUGGGGCUUAGCAUUGUUGAAAAUAAAAUUUUCAAACAAGGCCAUUUACUAUAAACUGUUAAAAGGAAAUAAAGACGGCAAGACUGCAGACUUUGACAAACAUGUUUUCUGUCAAACGGUAGUUUAAAUUAUAAUGAAAUGAUAAUGUUCAAUAUGCAGAUAAACGUUUCUUUUUCGGGACGACUCCGAAAUACUUGAUAAGAAAUAUUCAAACUGAAGAGAUGGCUAAUGAUUACGAAUAUUUUUACUCCUACUUUCUGUAUCUGAGCAUAACCCGGGUAAACAUUUAUGUUAGAAUGAGUACCUUUACAAUGUCCCUUUGCCUGGAACGUCUUGUGAUUAUCAUAUUUUAUGGAUUUUACACAAAAUCAGUGUCCUUUUACAGACCUAGACAGUACAUCGUCCCGAAGGCGCCCAAAUACCUAGUAUGUAGUUAAAUUUCCUGAAAUACAUUUCCGGGUUAUCAAAUACAAUCUAUAGACUUUGAACUUUCUUGUUUUAUCGGAUUCAAGUAAUUUAUGUAACACAGAAUAUUUAACGAGGAUGUAAACGCUAAAUACAAUGUAGUUAAAUAAAGCCAAUGAACUGUAUACUAAAGUACCUGGUACCUUGUAUACAGUUCACUGAAUAAAGCUAACAAUUCGUUUCUAUGUUGUCGGUAUUCUGUGGAAAGGUAUUCUUUGGCGGCAUCUGCCAUAAUCCAUUCUAACCUCUUUAAAUCUUGGUUUGUCCUGGCUGCAGUUGAAUAGUAUUUAUUAUUACGAUGAUUAGAAUAAUGCAGUAAAAUGAAUAUUUAAUUUUUAUUCUCCAAUGUAGGGCACAUAAUAUUAACUUUCUUCACUGAAUGUUUGGGACGUUCCUGGAGACAAAUUUUUUACAAAUGACUCGAAGGCCGAGUUUCAACACAUUUGAAUUGAAGAAUCUGCAUGUCGUGAUCUCCAGAAGAAAAAGCAUAGAAUGUACAAAAAACGAUCCGCUGCAAAGGAACAUACAUGAUCCAGCUAAAAUAAGCGCCCACGUUCACCAUCGAGGAACAAAAGAAGAAAUAAUGAAGUUYCAGGUUAAUGUUGCAGUUCAACAUAUAUUCAAUUGUUUUAAAAAUCAUUAUUUAACUUGCUAUAAUGUCAAAUCAAUAUUUACUAAAACUAAAACAAACUGUUUGAAAAUCUGCAUAUUGUAUUUGCUUCCGUAGAAACUUGAGUAUAAAAUGAUAUAGAGAAUCCGCAUCAAGAAGGUAUGAAGAAAAUGAGAAGAAAGAAGAAACAACGUCGCAAAGAAGAUCAUCAGAAGAAUCGGUCCAUAAAAGUAGCAUUACAUCGAAUUCAAGGUUUAAAAAUCCAUUAGUUAAAAGUAUGCUUCGUUUUAAGGCUUACCCGCAAAACUAUUGUUUGCCAACAUACAAGUGAAUCAAACGGAGCCAAGUUUGCGGACAGAUAUUUAUUCUGAACGUAUAAUCAGCAGCAACAUUGAAUGGCCAAGAAAUCCACAAAUAAUGACUCGUUGCACUACAAGUCAAAGCUUGAGGACCGAUGACAAGCGGCGAUCGAAUAGCGAAGAUCGCAACUGUAGAGACCGACGAAAACGACGAGAUUCUUCCCAUCAUCGACAUAGAAGAUCAAGAUCCAGAUCAGAUUCCCGUUCCAGAAGUCGGAUCUACAGACACUCAAAGGCCUAUAGAGCACGUUCAAUUUCUCCCAGGCGCUCGGCUGACAUGUCCAGGAAAAGACAUCGGCAUUAACAGAAUGAUCAGAAUGAAGUAAAUCAUUUACAAACAUUAUUGUAAGUUUGAAGUUUCUGUGAACAAAACUUAUCCGUUUAUUCUACUUGUUUUAUCCAUCCAAUGUUUUAUGCAAUUGGUAUUUAAUCGCAAGUUUCACAUUUAUGCUGAUGCGCCUCAAAUUGUAAACAGUAAUAAUUUAAAGAGAUUAAAGUUAGACCCUCAGAACAAUAUAUGUAUAAACAAAUAUUAUCAAGUGAAAAUAUGUAAAUCCAGUGAUUGUUGAAAGAAAACUUCAGUUGUUUCUCAACAUUUCCAUUAGAACGAAAGUUUCGUUACUCACAAAUUCUAAGUGAAUAAUUUAAAAAUAAGCACUUCAUUAUGCCAUUCAAUGUAA